This 459-nucleotide ribosomal RNA is filed under the name uncultured bacterium. RNAcentral describes it as "partial 16S ribosomal RNA". It matches the Rfam family "Bacterial small subunit ribosomal RNA", at positions 338 to 795 of the family's 1533-position model. The record is from RNAcentral.
CCUACGGGUGGCUGCAGUGAGGAAUAUUGGUCAAUGGCCUGAAGGCUGAACCAGCCAAGCCGCGUGAGGGAGGAAGGCGCAAAGCGUCGCAGACCUCUUUUGCCGGGGGACAAAAGGCGGUACGGGUCCGGGGCUGAGGGGAACCGGAAGAAAAGCAUCGGCUAACUCCGGGCCAGCAGCCGCGGGAAUUCGGAGGAUGCGAGCGUUAUCCGGAUUCAUUGGGGUUAAAGGGUUCGGAGGCGGGCCUUUAAGCCGGCGGUGAAAUCGCGGGGCUCAACCCCGCCGCGCCGUCGGAACUGGGGGCCUUGAGUGCGGCGGAGGCAUGCGGAAUGCGCGGUGUAGCGGUGAAAUGCAUAGAUAUCGCGCAGAACCCCGAUUGCGAAGGCAGCGUGCCGUGCCGCAACUGACGCUGAGGCACGAAAGCGCGGGGAUCGAACAGGAUUAGAUACCCUUGUAGUC